RNAcentral lists this microRNA (22 nucleotides) under Solanum tuberosum (potato). RNAcentral's name for it is "stu-miR156d-3p". Its record names the gene stu-miR156d-3p. The record is from miRBase by way of RNAcentral. Lineage: Eukaryota; Viridiplantae; Streptophyta; Magnoliopsida; Solanales; Solanaceae.
GCUCUCUAUGCUUCUGUCAUCA